GGGUCCGUAGCUCAGUUGGUAGAGCACUCGGCUUUUAACUGAUUGGUCGUGCGUUCGAGUCGCACCGGACCCA
RNAcentral lists this transfer RNA (73 nucleotides) under bacterium. RNAcentral's name for it is "tRNA-Lys". It matches the Rfam family "tRNA". From Rfam's summary of the family: Transfer RNA (tRNA) molecules are approximately 80 nucleotides in length. The record is from RNAcentral. RNAcentral also lists the same sequence under 7 other names.